GCGGAUGAUCAUUAGAAAUAUCUGGGAUGCUCAAUAUGAGUUCCCAACAAAACACAUUCAUGCGUAUUCUUCCGUGUGUUUCCCCAGGCCAAUGGCCAGUACGUACCAUCUUGGCCCAUAACAGGGUAUCCAGCUGGUGUACAGCCGCGUGUGUCUGGGAAGGCCCAAAUUGGCAAAACUUUAUGUUAACUUACUGUCUGACAAGGCCAUGUGCCCCUGUAUUUUAAAUAUUUUAAAACUUUCAACAACGGAUCUCUUGGCUCUCGCAUCGAUGAAGAACGCAGCGAAAUGCGAUAAGUAAUGUGAAUUGCAGAAUUCAGUGAAUCAUCGAAUCUUUGAACGCACAUUGCGCCCUUUGGUAUUCCUUAGGGCAUGCCUGUUCGAGCGUCACUAAAAACCCCAUCACAUUAUGUGUGGUAUUGGCAGAAGUGGGUACUCCCACCCUGCUGGAAUCAAUAGGCUGGAAAAGUAGAUCGUAGCAACAGACUUUCAGAGUGUUUUGAAAUGCUAAAUUAGUUUGAAGCUGGUCGGAACCCCAGGCCAUUUGACCCCCAUUCUGCACAAAGCAGUAAGGUUGACCUCGGAUCAGGUAGGGAUACCCGCUGAACUUAAGCAUAUCAAU
This 622-nucleotide ribosomal RNA is filed under the name Tuber arnoldianum. Its description in RNAcentral is "eukaryotic LSU rRNA". The stretch from base 237 to 390 matches the Rfam family "5.8S ribosomal RNA". Lineage: Eukaryota; Fungi; Ascomycota; Pezizomycetes; Pezizales; Tuberaceae. The record is from RNAcentral.